This 380-nucleotide unclassified non-coding RNA is filed under the name uncultured Micrococcaceae bacterium. RNAcentral's name for it is "contains 16S-23S intergenic spacer region". The record is from RNAcentral. Lineage: Bacteria; Bacillati; Actinomycetota; Actinomycetes; Micrococcales; Micrococcaceae.
UCCGAGUUGACCCCGGCAGUCUCCCAUGAGUCCCCACCAUCACGUGCUGGCAACAUGGAACGAGGGUUGCGCUCGUUGCGGGACUUAACCCAACAUCUCACGACACGAGCUGACGACAACCAUGCACCACCUGUAUACCGACCCCAAAGGGGAAGAACCAUCUCUGGAACGAUCCGGUAUAUGUCAAGCCUUGGUAAGGUUCUUCGCGUUGCAUCGAAUUAAUCCGCAUGCUCCGCCGCUUGUGCGGGCCCCCGUCAAUUCCUUUGAGUUUUAGCCUUGCGGCCGUACUCCCCAGGCGGGGCACUUAAUGCGUUAGCUACGGCGCGGAAAACGUGGAAUGUCCCCCACACCUAGUGCCCAACGUUUACGGCAUGGACUAC